This 272-nucleotide ribosomal RNA is filed under the name uncultured soil bacterium. Its description in RNAcentral is "partial 16S ribosomal RNA". It matches the Rfam family "Bacterial small subunit ribosomal RNA", at positions 26 to 285 of the family's 1533-position model. The record is from RNAcentral.
AGAAUCAACGCUGGCGGCGUGCCUAACACAUGCAAGUCGAACGCGACUGGGGACUUCGGUUCCCGGUUGAGUGGCGAACGGGUGAGUAACACGCGGGUGAUCUACCUUCGAGUGGGGGAUAACGUUCCGAAAGGAACGCUAAUACCGCAUGACGUUCUGGGUUUGAAGACCUGGAAACCAAAGCCGGGGACCGCAAGGCCUGGCGCUUGGAGAGGAGCCCGCGUCCGAUUAGCUAGUUGGCGGGUAACGGCCCACCAAGGCGACGAUCGGUA